CCCUAGCCCUGAUGGUAGCGGCAUCCUUUUGUGGUGGCGUUCACCACAAAAGAUAUAGCGUACAGCAGGAAUUAGC
RNAcentral lists this small RNA (76 nucleotides) under Flavobacterium nitrogenifigens. RNAcentral's name for it is "Flavo-1 RNA". It matches the Rfam family "Flavo-1 RNA". Lineage: Bacteria; Pseudomonadati; Bacteroidota; Flavobacteriia; Flavobacteriales; Flavobacteriaceae. The record is from RNAcentral.